UUUGUUUUCAUCUUGCACCUCUUUAACUUAAUGAUUAUAGGCUGUCAAGUGUGACAUCCUAUCUUGUGCAUACUCUCUAUGAGCCAUAAAAAUAGACUAAAGGGUCAGGAUUGGUGCUCGUUAGUGGUGGACUAUGGUAUCACCCAAAACGUUCGAAAAAUGGGGGCAAGACUAUAACAUACAAAGAAACGACCCAAUUUAAAAC
RNAcentral lists this long non-coding RNA (205 nucleotides) under Cucumis sativus (cucumber). RNAcentral describes it as "long non-coding RNA (CSAT_LNC000690)". The record is from RNAcentral. Lineage: Eukaryota; Viridiplantae; Streptophyta; Magnoliopsida; Cucurbitales; Cucurbitaceae.